This is a non-coding RNA of Sphagnurus paluster, 83 nucleotides long. Lineage: Eukaryota; Fungi; Basidiomycota; Agaricomycetes; Agaricales; Lyophyllaceae. The record is from the annotation of a GenBank genome assembly.
UCGGGUAUGGUGUAACGGCUAACAUUGCCGCCUCUCACACACUGAAAUCGCGGCAGCUCGGGGUUCGAUUCCCCGUACCCGAA